GCAGUAGUGGUUCAGGGGUAGAAUUCUCACCUCCCACGUGGGAGACCUGGCUUCGAUUCCCAGCCAAUGCA
Molecule: transfer RNA, 71 nt
Filed under: Loxodonta africana (African savanna elephant)
Lineage: Eukaryota; Metazoa; Chordata; Mammalia; Proboscidea; Elephantidae
Rfam family: tRNA
About the family: Transfer RNA (tRNA) molecules are approximately 80 nucleotides in length.
Source: Rfam by way of RNAcentral